GUAACACCACAGUAGUUGCCGCGGGCGUAUCCCCACACACUUCGACUGCAGGUAUUUCCGACGCAGUUGCCACAGAGCACAUUGCCAAGCUC
RNAcentral lists this non-coding RNA (92 nucleotides) under Oxyrrhis marina. Lineage: Eukaryota; Dinophyceae; Oxyrrhinales; Oxyrrhinaceae. The record is from RNAcentral.